ACACCUAGGAGGAUCCUGAGUACGGCGGAACACGAGAAAUUCCGUCGGAAUCCGGGAGGACCAUCUCCCAAGGCUAAAUACUCCCUAGUGACCGAUAGUGAACCAGUACCGUGAGGGAAAGGUGAAAAGCACCCCGGAAGGGGAGUGAAAUAGAACCUGAAACCGUGUGCCUACAACAAGUCAAAGCCCGUUAAUGGGUGAUGGCGUGCCUUUUGUAGAAUGAACCGGCGAGUUACGAUUGCAUGCGAGGUUAAGUUGAAGAGACGGAGCCGCAGCGAAAGCGAGUCUGAAUAGGGCGUUUGAGUAUGUAGUCGUAGACCCGAAACCAUGUGAUCUACCCAUGUCCAGGUUGAAGGUGCGGUAAAACGCACUGGAGGACCGAACCCACGUACGUUGAAAAGUGCGGGGAUGAGGUGUGGGUAGCGGAGAAAUUCCAAACGAACUUGGAGAUAGCUGGUUCUCUCCGAAAUAGCUUUAGGGCUAGCCUCGGAAUUGAGAAUGAUGGAGGUAGAGCACUGUUUGGACUAGGGGCCCAUCUCGGGUUACCGAAUUCAGAUAAACUCCGAAUGCCAUUCAUUCAUAUCCGGGAGUCAGACUGUGAGUGAUAAGAUCCAUAGUCGAAAGGGAAACAGCCCAGACCACCAGCUAAGGUCCCAAAAUAUAUGUUAAGUGGAAAAGGAUGUGGGGUUGCACAGACAACUAGG
Molecule: ribosomal RNA, 704 nt
Filed under: Enterococcus faecium
Lineage: Bacteria; Bacillati; Bacillota; Bacilli; Lactobacillales; Enterococcaceae
Description: partial 23S ribosomal RNA
Rfam family: Bacterial large subunit ribosomal RNA
Source: RNAcentral